GAUGAACGCUGGCGGCGUGCCUAAUACAUGCAAGUCGAGCGAACAGACGAGGAGCUUGCUUCUCUGACGUUAGCGGCGGACGGGUGAGUAACACGUGGAUAACCUACCUAUAAGACUGGGAUAACUUCGGGAAACCGGAGCUAAUACCGGAUAAUAUAUUGAACCGCAUGGUUCAAUAGUGAAAGACGGUUUUGCUGUCACUUAUAGAUGGAUCCGCGCCGCAUUAGCUAGUUGGUAAGGUAACGGCUUACCAAGGCAACGAUGCGUAGCCGACCUGAGAGGGUGAUCGGCCACACUGGAACUGAGACACGGUCCAGACUCCUACGGGAGGCAGCAGUAGGGAAUCUUCCGCAAUGGGCGCAAGCCUGACGGAGCAACGCCGCGUGAGUGAUGAAGGUCUUCGGAUCGUAAAACUCUGUUAUUAGGGAAGAACAAAUGUGUAAGUAACUAUGCACGUCUUGACGGUACCUAAUCAGAAAGCCACGGCUAACUACGUG
Molecule: ribosomal RNA, 497 nt
Filed under: uncultured bacterium
Lineage: Bacteria
Description: partial 16S ribosomal RNA
Rfam family: Bacterial small subunit ribosomal RNA
Source: RNAcentral